This 73-nucleotide transfer RNA is filed under the name Chelonoidis carbonarius (red-footed tortoise). RNAcentral describes it as "tRNA-Lys". It matches the Rfam family "tRNA". Rfam says of the family: Transfer RNA (tRNA) molecules are approximately 80 nucleotides in length. Their secondary structure includes four short double-helical elements and three loops (D, anti-codon, and T loops). Lineage: Eukaryota; Metazoa; Chordata; Testudines; Testudinidae. The record is from RNAcentral.
CACUAAGAAGCUAAAUAGGACAGCACUAGCCUUUUAAGCUAGAAAUAGAGGACGUCCCCCCCCUCCUUAGUGA